GUGGGGAAUAUUGGACAAUGGGGGGAACCCUGAUCCAGCCAUGCCGCGUGUGUGAAGAAGGCCUUUUGGUUGUAAAGCACUUUAAGCGAGGAGGAGGCUACCGAGAUUAAUACUCUUGGAUAGUGGACGUUACUCGCAGAAUAAGCACCGGCUAACUCUGUGCCAGCAGCCGCGGUAAUACAGAGGGUGCAAGCGUUAAUCGGAUUUACUGGGCGUAAAGUGCGCGUAGGUGGCCAAUUAAGUCAAAUGUGAAAUCCCCGAGCUUAACUUGGGAAUUGCAUUCGAUACUGGUUGGCUAGAGUAUGGGAGAGGAUGGUAGAAUUCCAGGUGUAGCGGUGAAAUGCGUAGAGAUCUGGAGGAAUACCGAUGGCGAAGGCAGCCAUCUGGCCUAAUACUGACACUGAGGUGCGAAAGCAUGGGGAGCAAACAGGAUUAGAAACCCUUGUAGUCC
This 451-nucleotide ribosomal RNA is filed under the name uncultured bacterium. Its description in RNAcentral is "partial 16S ribosomal RNA". It matches the Rfam family "Bacterial small subunit ribosomal RNA", at positions 354 to 796 of the family's 1533-position model. The record is from RNAcentral.